UACGGGGGGGGCAAGCGUUGUUCGGAAUUACUGGGCGUAAAGGGCGUGUAGGCGGUCAGGUAAGUGAGAUGUGAAAUGCCCCGGCUCACCCGGGGACCGGCAUCUCAUACUGCUUGGCUUGAGUACGGGAGAGGAUGUGGGAAUUCCUGGUGUAGCGGUGAAAUGCGUAGAUAUCAGGAGGAACACCGGUGGCGAAGGCGCACAUCUGGCCCGAUACUGACGCUGAGGCGCGAAAGCUAGGGGAGCAAACGGG
This 253-nucleotide ribosomal RNA is filed under the name uncultured bacterium. RNAcentral's name for it is "partial 16S ribosomal RNA". It matches the Rfam family "Bacterial small subunit ribosomal RNA", at positions 524 to 776 of the family's 1533-position model. The record is from RNAcentral.